Molecule: unclassified non-coding RNA, 388 nt
Filed under: Helicoverpa armigera (cotton bollworm)
Lineage: Eukaryota; Metazoa; Arthropoda; Insecta; Lepidoptera; Noctuidae
Description: dynein light chain Tctex-type 5-A
Source: RNAcentral
CUUGAUAGAAAUGUUUUGUGUCAAUAAAAUGUAGGUGUCCAGCUCUGUGAUAAAUAUAUGUUUCUACCGAAAAUGUGCCCUCUUUCGAUAAAAUGAUGUACAUUCUGCCAUUUUUGGCCGGUGUUUCGGCGGUCUCAUGUAUUUAUUGUUUCUGCUUUAGAAGAAGAUGUUAACGAUCAAGUUAUUUCCAUCAUUGGUACAGAAUCAUCGUAAACGUGUGCAUCGGACAGCGGCGACAGCAAAGCGUCCAUGUUUUUCACACAUUCCUGUGGGAUCACGAACGGGACGCCUUUGCUGCGUACAACUAUGAAAACCCUCACAUCUUUGCAAACGUUGUCGUUUAUGGAGUUUAUUUAGACUAAAUAGUGAAAUAAAUAGUUUAAAUGAA